This is a long non-coding RNA of Ostrinia furnacalis (Asian corn borer), 325 nucleotides long. RefSeq lists it as uncharacterized. NCBI's taxonomy places the organism in Eukaryota, Metazoa, Arthropoda, Insecta, Lepidoptera, Crambidae. The transcript is spliced from 2 exons. The record is from RefSeq and is a predicted model, not a curated record.
CCCGGCGUCAUUGAGGCAGGGUCAAUAUGACCCUGCAAGUUUUGCAUACGAAAAUUUGCUUAGAAGUAAUUGCCGCACACAACCGUCUGUCUCAGUAGCUGCAGCAAAGGAUCACCCCUCCCCUUCACGUACCUCACUUCAGUCGUCCGUCGCCCGCGCAAGGAGCAACACGUAUGUAAACGUGCGACCGGAACGUGAGCGUCGUCGAAUCUUGGCGAUACUGGAAGAAUCCUCAGAUAGUGAUGAAAAUGAACCUUAUGCAUCUGAUUUGGAAAAUGAAGAUCAUGUUAGUGUUCGUAGCCAGGAAAGUGAUACCGACCAAGAA